UAUUAUUUAAAAUAUAAUUAUAAAUACUUAAGUAGUAAUAGUUAUGUUCUUGAAACUUAAAAAAUUUGGCGGUAUUUUAGUCUAUCCAGAGGAACCUGUUUUAUAAUCGAUAAUCCACGAUGGACCUUACUUAAAUUUGUAAUCAGUUUAUAUACCGUCGUUAUCAGAAUAUUUUAUAAGAAUAUUAAUAUUCAAUAAUUUUUAUUAAAAUUUAUAUCAGAUCAAGGUGUAGCUUAUGUUUAAGUAAAAAUGGGUUACAAUAAAUUUAUUUAUAUGGAUAAAAUUAUGAAAAAAUUUUUGAAAUUGGAUUUGGUAGUAAAUUUAUAAAGAUUAAUAAUUUGAUUUUAGCUCUAAAAUAUGUACACAUCGCCCGUCGCUCUUAUUAUUAAGGUAAGAUAAGUCGUAACAUAGUAGAUGUACUGGAAAGUGUAUCUAGAAUGA
RNAcentral lists this ribosomal RNA (441 nucleotides) under Drosophila guttifera. RNAcentral describes it as "partial 12S ribosomal RNA". The record is from RNAcentral. Lineage: Eukaryota; Metazoa; Arthropoda; Insecta; Diptera; Drosophilidae.